Transfer RNA from Ipomoea nil (Japanese morning glory), 74 nucleotides. It matches the Rfam family "tRNA". Rfam says of the family: Transfer RNA (tRNA) molecules are approximately 80 nucleotides in length. Their secondary structure includes four short double-helical elements and three loops (D, anti-codon, and T loops). The record is from Rfam. Lineage: Eukaryota; Viridiplantae; Streptophyta; Magnoliopsida; Solanales; Convolvulaceae.
GGCCUAUUAGCUUAGUUGGUUAGAGCAUCAUGCUAAUAGUGUGAAGGUUGCAGGUUCAAGACCUGCAUGGGCCA